GGGUUGUGAGGUUAAGCGACUAAGCGUACACGGUGGAUGCCCUGGCAGUCAGAGGCGAUGAAGGGCGUGCUAAUCUGCGAUAAGCGCCGGUAAGGUGAUAUGAACCGUUAUAACCGGCGAUACCCGAAUGGGGAAACCCAGUGUGACUCGUCACACUAUCAUUAACUGAAUCCAUAGGUUAAUGAGGCGAACCGGGGGAACUGAAACAUCUAAGUACCCCGAGGAAAAGAAAUCAACCGAGAUUCCCCCAGUAGCGGCGAGCGAACGGGGAGGAGCCCAGAGCCUGAAUCAGCAUGUGUGUUAGUGGAAGCGUCUGGAAAGGCGCGCGAUACAGGGUGACAGCCCCGUACACAAAAGCGCAUGUGUUGUGAGCUCGAUGAGUAGGGCGGGACACGUGGUAUCCUGUCUGAAUAUGGGGGGACCAUCCUCCAAGGCUAAAUACUCCUGACUGACCGAUAGUGAACCAGUACCGUGAGGGAAAGGCGAAAAGAACCCCGGCGAGGGGAGUGAAAAAGAACCUGAAACUGUGUACGUACAAGCAGUGGGAGCACCCUUUUGGGUGUGACUGCGUACCUUUUGUAUAAUGGGUCAGCGACUUAUAUUCUGUAGCAAGGUUAACCGAAUAGGGGAGCCGUAGGGAAACCGAGUCUUAAC
This 654-nucleotide ribosomal RNA is filed under the name Salmonella enterica. Its description in RNAcentral is "partial 23S ribosomal RNA". It matches the Rfam family "Bacterial large subunit ribosomal RNA", at positions 1 to 688 of the family's 2925-position model. Lineage: Bacteria; Pseudomonadati; Pseudomonadota; Gammaproteobacteria; Enterobacterales; Enterobacteriaceae. The record is from RNAcentral.